Anolis sagrei ordinatus is the source of this 252-nucleotide non-coding RNA. The record is from RefSeq and is a predicted model, not a curated record. NCBI's taxonomy places the organism in Eukaryota, Metazoa, Chordata, Lepidosauria, Squamata, Anolidae.
CUGCAAUAUAAACUCCUCCUCAGUGCAGAUUCGGUGCAAUCCCUACAGGUCUUCAAAAGAUACAGAAAAGAAGAUACUGAAAGAGAAAUGUUUCUUCAGCACGUGUUCCUACUGAUGGCCUUGGUGCUCCAGCAAUCCUCAGGACAGAUAGACCAAAUUCUAAGUAAAAUCUCUGAAGUCCAGAGGAACGCCAUUGUUGACAAACACAAUGAAAUCAGGAGACAGGUGCAACCAACUGCUAGCAAUAUGAUG